RNAcentral lists this transfer RNA (72 nucleotides) under uncultured Ruminococcus sp. It matches the Rfam family "tRNA". From Rfam's summary of the family: Transfer RNA (tRNA) molecules are approximately 80 nucleotides in length. Their secondary structure includes four short double-helical elements and three loops (D, anti-codon, and T loops). Further hydrogen bonds mediate the characteristic L-shaped molecular structure. tRNAs have two regions of fundamental functional importance: the anti-codon, which is responsible for specific mRNA codon recognition, and the 3' end, to which the tRNAs corresponding amino acid is attached (by aminoacyl-tRNA synthetases). tRNAs cope with the degeneracy of the genetic code in two manners: having more than one tRNA (with a specific anti-codon) for a particular amino acid; and 'wobble' base-pairing, i.e. permitting non-standard base-pairing at the 3rd anti-codon position. Lineage: Bacteria; Bacillati; Bacillota; Clostridia; Eubacteriales; Oscillospiraceae. The record is from RNAcentral.
GGGGCUUAGCUCAGCUGGUUAGAGCGUUUGCUUGACAUGCAAGAGGUCACUGGUUCGAGUCCAGCAGUCCCC